Mugil cephalus (flathead mullet) is the source of this 5476-nucleotide long non-coding RNA. RefSeq lists it as uncharacterized. The transcript has 2 exons. Lineage: Eukaryota; Metazoa; Chordata; Actinopteri; Mugiliformes; Mugilidae. The record is from RefSeq and is a predicted model, not a curated record.
GAGAGUGGAGGAAACCCCUGUUUAAAGCGAUGACCUAGUUUACUCUUUACUUCUUUAUGGUAGGCUAUGAACAAUAGAGGGACGUACACAUCAGCGGCGCUAGCCUUUACCCAGCCACCCCCCACAUGCUGCAGCGGAAACGCAAACACAGUUUCUGGUAUUGCUACGUAAAUACUCUGAAGGGAAUUGUGCAAGGUCGUCAGCACGCUCUCCCAUUGACAAACAAAAAGUCAAGUGCAGACGUCGAUCCCCUUUCAGCCGACGCACGAACAGCACUCGUUUGAUUCACGUCACGUCAGAGGAUGAGAAGGCAGAUUCGAUUGAAACGGUGACAUCGGUUCGUAUUCAGAACCGUCAAAGCUGCGAAGCUGUGGCCUAUUCAUCUAUAACAAGAGCCGACUACACGAGCAAAUAUUUGAAGGGCCGUCUAUUAUGUGCACUACAGUCUGAGUGGACGGACUCAUCCGUGUCCGUGUGAGCCAAGUGAACUCAUUCUGUAAUUGGAUCAGUCAUUGAUACUCGUGCGUUUGCCAGUGGUUGAAAACGGGGCAAAAACUGAAUACUGAGUUCAAUGUAUUAUUAUUAUUAUAGGUCCAUUCUGCAUAGAGAACACAGAGUAUGGAAUAAGUCUAUUUAUAGGGGCUGAUUAUAACAAAUGACUUCUUAGGUAUCAUUUUAAAACGUUUGUGUCUACGCCAAAGUCCUUAUUUCCUCGUAAAUUAUUUUAUUUAAACACACAAUUAGUUUUUAAAUGCCACGCUCCGCCCACCGUAAAUCCUCCCCGUCUUCAAGUCUACAGCUGCAAAUAGUCAAAGACAAAGACUUCUUUCUCAAGGCUCGACCUGGACCGCAGCCAGGUUCUGCUAAGACCGUCAGGGCACAGUUAGCGCGGAGAUAAACGUGUGCAACUACAUUAAAAAGCUUCUCUUUUUUUUUUUAUUUGUUUGUUUUGGGAAAUGAUCACCUUAUCAAUAUGAAGAAUAUCUGUCAGGUCACAGCAAAGAACAUUUACACUAAAACAACAGGAGUACUACGAGCGUCAUAAAAGAAUCCACAGGUGGAUUAAAGGGCUGACGGGUGGACCAGUGAUCUGACUAACUCCGGCUCUAUUUCUGGUUUACGACUGUUUAACAAUGAGCAGGGGGGGGGAAAGAAAAAAAAAAAGUGCCUCGGUCAUGCUGGUAUUGCAGGCGGAAGGAACGAGAGGCGUGCGCAGCCUAUAGCAUAAUGUGCAGCCGGCUACACCGCUCCGUCAUCACAUGACUUCCUCCAGUCUGUCGAGCUUUAAGAUGUAGGUCAACGGUCAACUUCCCUAUGAAAGGGCACGUGUCCCACGUCACAAAUGACACAAAAGUCAGAAACCGAAAAGUGCACUCGGUCAUUUAUCAAUUAUCUACAACACAGCAGGGAUGGAGGAUGGAGGGAGGGAGGAGGGGGGAGGGAUUUUGCCCAGAUUUAUCUUGUUUAGGUUAAACUGCUGCUUAGCAUCUGCCUGCUGUUUGAAAAUGAGAGGCUUGUCUAGCCGUGAGACAACAUACCUAUAUAUAUAUAUAUAUAUGCUGUAUGUAAUGAAGAAUUUAAAGUGUACUUUCAUUCAUCAGGUGAACUAUCUGAGUUCUAAUUAGGGCUGAGUUUUUUAGAAAAAAAAAUAUUGAAACUGAUUUGAAAGGUCUGAUAUUGAUUCAUUAAAGCUGACCUUUUUUUUUUUUUUUAAAUCCACAUGUAUUUGCAAGACUAUUCUAUAACUAGUCUAUUGAGUUCACACAGCAAGAUCAGUCCACAUAUCAGUCCAAAACAUGACAGAAGCUACGACGCCAAGAGCCCUGUCAGGCCUUUAAAGCUGAAUGGAUUCAUAAAACGAGAGCAGAGCUGCAGGAGAGUAAAGCCACGUUUAAAAUGUGUCGACUAGAGGUGAAACGCUGUGGAAAUGCCUCAAAUUUCUGGGACAGAUGACAAAUCCUUUUGUAUUUUCUGCUGCCGGAAAGCUGCAAAUGCCCCCACUGUGGGAUAAAUAACGGAUCGUCUUAUUUAAUAACCGAGAGAAAGAGUUUCAAAAGCGAAAUAUAUAUAAAAAAAAAAAUGAACGAAUCAAACCGCGUAAUCGAAUUGAUUCAGGAAAUCUGUGGCACCACCACGCUCUCGUCUCCAUUAAUUACAGUUUUUCUCUGGAAUAUUUUAUGCAAAACAAAAAACAUAAACUAAAAAUUCUCAUACAAAACACAGCUACAGGGAAGGGUCUUUCUAGACGUAUGUUCUGCUCGUGUGGCCCCUGAUUCCAGAGAGAAGCAUCUUUCCACUGAAUCUCAUUCGGAUUAAGAAGACGCUGUGUCGUUGUCUGGGGGAGGAAACGGACACAACUGAUGUGCGCAGAAAGCUGUAAUGACACAACAGACACGACUGAUUUAAAGAUGGCAAUAGGAGGACUAGUUUUCAGCUUUAACUUCAAAUGAAAAAAAAAAUGUUACGUAGUAUUUGUAACAUAGUCACGUUAUAUUUCUUGCACCUAAUCACCUGUUACUGAUUAACUGAACUGAUGAAGUGAUUAACCUCGAAACUAUUUUUUGCAUUAAUCUAUAAAAUUUAAAAAGGUGCAAAACUGCAAAAUACAAAUCCCUUAAGAGCGAGACAAUGUCAUCUCACGUCUCAUUUUACCUGAUGAAUAAUGCACGAGGCAAACGUAUAGGAUUCACCAGGAAACUCUGACAACUGAGAAGCAACAAGAGGCACCGUUUCAUCUUUUCUGCCUUAUCUCGCUGACAUAAAAUAAACUCGAUAUAAAUUGUCAAAUAAAUGAGCUUUACUUCUCUAAAAAAACAAAACGUGUUUUAAACUAGAACUUGACAAACAGAUCAUCUGCUUGAUUCUACUGGCCUCGUCACAGAUUUAUAUCGGUUAUCUGAGUUUAUGCUGUCUGAUACGCACUGAUGUGAGACUUUUCAAAGGAACAUAUUGCAAAAAAAAAACAAGAGAAAACAAUGUUUGCCAUCACAUUUUCUCCAGCAUUCUUUAUUUAUAACGCUCCGAGGCCUAAAUACGCCUCACAGCUCACGCAGGUGUAGAGUCAAGCGGGUCCCUCACGUUAAGUUGCCAACUCGUUCCUGAAAUUAAUGGACAAAGAUCCAACUUAUUCCCAUUAUGUCACUCAAGCUAAGCACCAUUUGCUGUGUUAGCGGCGUAGCUAGCCAUUAGCGAAGGCCGACCGCGUUAUUGAUUGAAUUCUUGUGAUGACUGUGACUCAGUGUGAAUCUCUCCUUCCGUACCCGUCGUUUGUUUGAAAUGAUCACGCUGCCGCCAUCUAAAUACACUUGGCACUAAAACCCUCCACCACGACUGUUUUAACGUGCAGUUUAUGUUGAAACAGCGUCAGAAAUAAGUCAACUGUACGAUCAUUACGGGGGAUUAGUAGCUUGUGGUGCUGUCAAACGGGAUUAAAUUAAACUCUAAAGUGUUUCUUUUAUGUAGCCUAGCCCACCGACUAAAGCCGGGUUCUCAAAAUAAUAGAAACGGUGCUUCAAACCACAGGCUCCAAGAUGAAAACACAGAUGAAUCAACAGCUCGCUCAGUUAUUUUAAACCAACGCUGAACACCGUAACCUCCGCUGCAGGACUGUUACAUCACAAUGCAUUUGUUUUCAUUAGUGUGUAAUGCCAGGCCGCAAAAUACCCAAAAAAACAAAACAAACACCUCCCUGUUGAGUGAGUCCAGUCCCUGCAGGGCAACGUGAUGUGUGCAUCUAAGCCAAGCAUUUAAAUUCCUCGCUGAGCUACAACGUGGAACAGAGAUACCGUGCGUCAUGUGAAUAAAAUAACUGUGUCAAUGUUAGAGCUGUAAACUGCGAGUUGGAAUGUUUAAAAUGCAGCAGCAGCUUAAUAAAUAACAGCGUCAACAUUCGGGACAUUUUAAAAUUCAGCCUGGAACAACAGCUGAGUAACGUAACAACGUUAUAUAUUUAUAUUGUUAUAUAUUUUUUUCCGCUAUAAUAUUAAUUUUCAGUAUAUUUGAUCACACGGUGCUCGGGAACAAUUUUCAGCGUCUAAACAUGCAUAGUGCGGUUAUGUCACUGUGAGGCGUGGUGAAGAUGGAAAGGUCGGAAAAAUCAAGCGGCAAAAGGAGACGACUUGUGCCAAAAAAAAGGAAGGUGCUGUUUCGGUUGUUGUAUUUUUUGUUUGUUUGUUUUUUUUUGAGUGACCAGACGUCCCCGAUGUCUGGGGACAGUCCCCGUUUUGGAUGACGUGUCCCCCGGCUAAAGCUGUCCCUGAAAAUGUCCCCAAUUUUAGCUUUUUAUGAAUGAGGGAAAAAAAAUGUUGAGCACAGGCUACAAUUAUUACGGUAGUCGUUCACGCUGCGAUUGACAUUACUGACAUUAAAUACAUUAAAUAUGUUUAAAUAUGAAUAAAUAAAUUAAACCGUGUGUCCCUGUUUUCAUUUUCAUUCAUCUUAAUAAUAUUUAAUUCUGUUUUUUCCACAUCUGCAGGCAGUGCUACAUGUAUUUACUCAUCAUCACAGUAAAAUAGUCCUUAGUCAAAAUGCUGCAUUAAUUCCUCUCUCAACUAGUAGAAAACGUUGUGAACACUUAAUUAUGAAUGAAAAAAAAAAACACUGUGAUAUACAUUUUUAGUCGUACCUCCCAGCACUGUGACAACAUUAUGCUUCCUGAUAGUGUUCAUAGAGGCAUCAUAGAGCAUUCAACAUGCUGGAUUUGCACAGAAACAAACACGUCCCACUGGCUGCAACGUCCCACAAUGUUAUCAAGCGAAAAGGGGGAAGUGGAAACAAUGGCAUUUAAUAACUAUUUGGGCAAAAUCGCUUUCCUCUGUCUUUCCCAAUGCGGAUUGUGCUUACAUUGUGUCGUAUCCCUUUGAGCCACUGACACCGGCCGCCUUUCAUUUGUGCAAGUCAUGCUGAUUUUUUUGCUGGUCACAGUCCAGCCGCGUGGGUUUUUUUUUUUUUUUUCUCGCCAAGGCAACUAGGGCAGUGGGCGAGCAAGUCAAGUUCGUCCGAGUCAGCGGGGCGGCCGCGUGGAGCAACAGCACGACCCUGAAAUGACGGCCUUUCUGGAAACCAUGCCUACCGAGAACCAGCCAGGGGAAAAAACGCAACUGGCCGGGCGGGAGCAGCCUAAAAAUAACAGCGGACGGCGAUCAUGUGCUCGGCGUCAGCACAGACGGCCGAGUACCUGUGGACUCUUUCACCGCUAUCUCUUAUAAAAGCCAGAACAUGAUAAAACAAGACGUGCAGAUCUUCUCAGGCAAAGGAAGAACGUCCGCAUGCCAGUUGUGAGGCCGUGUGCCACAGAGAGGCUGAAUUUAUCGCGGCCGCCUGUCGCCUUUCCACGGGGAGGUCAGACGGCCACGCGGCGGCGUCUCUGCGGAUGAUCUGCAGCACAGCCGACCUUCAGGCAGCAAGAUGGACGAGCGGCUACAGCUCCUUCACCUAAAACCUCCCUAUUUCACUUCAUAAAGAUUAAAGCAUAAAC